UGCAAGUCGAGCGCCCUCUUCGGAGGGAGCGGCGGACGGGUUAGUAACGCGUGGGAACGUGCCCAGAUCUAAGGAAUAGCCACUGGAAACGGUGAGUAAUACCUUAUACGCCCUUCGGGGGAAAGAUUUAUCGGAUUUGGAUCGGCCCGCGUUAGAUUAGGUAGUUGGUGGGGUAAUGGCCUACCAAGCCUACGAUCUAUAGCUGGUUUGAGAGGAUGAUCAGCCACACUGGGACUGAGACACGGCCCAGACUCCUACGGGAGGCAGCAGUGGGGAAUAUUGCGCAAUGGAGGAAACUCUGACGCAGCCAUGCCGCGUGAGUGAAGAAGGCCCUAGGGUUGUAAAGCUCUUUCAGACGUGAUGAUGAUGACAGUAGCGUCAAAAGAAGUUCCGGCUAACUUCGUGCCAGCAGCCGCGGUAAUACGGAGGGGGUUAGCGUUGUUCGGAAUUACUGGGCGUAAAGCGCGCGUAGGCUGACUAUUAAGUCAGAGGUGAAAUCCCGGGGCUCAACCCCGGAACUGCCUUUGAUACUGGUAGUCUUGAGUUCGAGAGAGGUAAGUGGAAUUCCGAGUGUAGAGGUGAAAUUCGUAGAUAUUCGGAGGAACACCAGUGGCGAAGGCGGCUUACUGGCUCGAUACUGACGCUGAGGUGCGAAAGUGUGGGGAGCAAACAGGAUUAGAUACCCUGGUAGU
This 692-nucleotide ribosomal RNA is filed under the name uncultured bacterium. RNAcentral describes it as "bacterial SSU rRNA". It matches the Rfam family "Bacterial small subunit ribosomal RNA", at positions 56 to 794 of the family's 1533-position model. The record is from RNAcentral.